Long non-coding RNA from Rhododendron vialii, 2512 nucleotides. RefSeq lists it as uncharacterized. Lineage: Eukaryota; Viridiplantae; Streptophyta; Magnoliopsida; Ericales; Ericaceae. The record is from RefSeq and is a predicted model, not a curated record. The transcript has 3 exons.
CCGACGAACUGCUACGGUGCCACGCCACAAGGGGCGAUCGACUGUUCACUCGGCUCUCUCUCUCUGCCACCAGAUCUACUUACCCGUCGUCAAGGGGUUCGCCGUCACCGUCGUGAUAUUCUAUUCCCGCGGGUUCAGUUCAGCCAUCGCUGGCUCCGUUGUUGCCAGCGUUGCCGUCGUCCUCUGACGUCGUUGUGAGUUUGAGAUUAUAGAACAUGCUCAGUGGAUCCGAAACAAAGCUAUUUUGCUCACUCAUUUCUCGUCCCACUAUAAUAUGGAGCACCAAAAUGGCAAAAGGUUUGAUAUGGGCAACAGCAGAGGAUUUGGCAAGAAAUAAAGGGCAGGUUCUUUCUCUUUAUCGCCAACUAUUGCGGAGUCUUAACUCCCCUGAUUUGCUGCUAAACUUGGCAGCAUGCCUGGCGAAAAGAGCAGAGGUUCGUGCCAUCUUCAUGGUGGCUUCUGAGGAGCGAUCCCUUCAUAACAUCCAAGAUCUCUUUGAUGCUGCUGAUUACUCCCUCUCUCUAUUAAGAAAAGGCGAAAUCCCCAAAUACAUCCAAUGAGUUAAGUUCCUCCUCAUCUUGUAGUCUCUCUUUGUGCAACUGUGUGCAUGAUCAUGAUGAUGCUUUGUAAAUUAGUUUGUGGUUCACAAGUGCAGGGAGGGAUGAAUAAUGUUGACUUAACUUUGACAAAAUUCUUUAUUGUAUCUGGAUCAUUGUGUAAAAUGAGCUGAGGCUACCUUUAUUAAUAAUCUAUGUUGUCAAGUUUCGACAACCUUUCAAUACUAGUGUAAUAUGUUUGUUAUGCUACUUUAGAAUGCAUCAUCUAUUUAAAGUUGUCUUUCGGUAUUUGGAACUUUUCGUUCCAUAUACAUCAUGUUUUACCAUUUCCUCACCUUCAUAUUUAUGAGAAACUUUAAUUCUUUGUUUGUCACAGAUUGACACAUAUUUAUGUUUGCCUGAUAAUCAAUUAAAUAAGAUGUUUUUAAAACCUCAAUCAUCAAUGGCCCAUUUUAGCAAGUUAUUCUAGUUGAUUCAUGAUUUGCAAGAAUUUGGGAACCAUGGCCAAAAGUCGAAUUUUACUUAACUUAAGUGGAAAAGCCCUCUGUUAUUCAAGUUGUUUUAUUCUUUUGGUCACGCAUAAAAGAUAUGUACAGUUAUUGAUGUGUCCCUGCCAUGCCAGUGGUUGUCCAUGUUGUGUCCAUGUCUCGUGUCUAUUCAUACUUCUUAGUAGAAUGGAGCUACGACGCACGGACACGGACACCAACAAGGGGACACAGGAAUUCUAAAAAAAUGGGGACAUGGACACGGCGGGGGACACGCCAUGUGUAUAUUUAUUUAUAUAUAUAAAUAUAUAUAUUUUUCAAGUUUAAAUGGCAAAAUGUAGACAAAACAUAAUAUCCAUAAUUCUAAUACCAUUCAAACAAAACAAGACAUCUAUGAUCCAUAAGUUCAAUACAGUCCAAAUACCCAAUUGAAACAAAACAUGAUAAACAUCCAUAGUUCCAUAAUAAAUUAUGGGACACGCCACAUAGCGUGUCCCCAGCCGUGUCCCCCUAAAAAAUUUAUAUUACGUGGCGUGUCCCAUUUUUACCAUCUGUCUUCAUAAUAAAUUAUGAAGACAGAAAAGGAGUGUGAUAGUAUAAAAAGGGAGUGCAAAAUCAAUUACCUUUGGUAUACUCUGUGACUUCUUUAUGAUUUAGGAAAGUAAUUGAUUUUAGCACUCCAUUUUUACCAUCUGUACUCCUUGUCUUGUCUUUAUGACGUGAAUCUACAAUAUUGUCCUUUUCUGUGUGGAAAAGUGAGCAAACAAAAGCGUAAAUAUGUAAAUUCACUUGAAUCAAGACCAAAAAAUGAGAGCAGGAAAUACAAAAAAGAAGUGCAAAAUCAUUACCAAGAUUAAUAUGCUAUUUUGGGUUUGGUAUCGUUAAUGUGAGGAGCUCAGUGGAAUGAAGCUCUCCGUGUUUGAAAAUGAACAUACUUGUGUAGUGUCAUGUGGAGUUAUGUUUUUCCUUUUUGUUCUACUACUCAGAAGUCAGAUGGUAGAAACUGUUUAUGUUCCUUGUAAUUCUAAUUAGUGUUAUUCAUUGUGCAGAUAUGCACAGCAGACAGAUGCAGAGGUCAACUAACAAGGAGCCUGCUCCUUGAGCCCCGUGCAACCAUGAAUGUCAAACCAAAUCUCCAGAUUAUUGCUGAUGAUGUGAAGUGCUCAAAUGGAGCUGCAAUUAGUGAUCUAGAAGAGAACCAACGAGCGCUCUUCUAGAAGAGAACCAACUCUUCUACUUUCAGGCAAGGGGAGUUGACUAACAGACGGCUAGAAGAGCGCUCAUCUUCUCCUUUGGAGCUGAGGUGAUUCAGUGUUUGCCUCGCGAUUUUCUCCAAAAGAAAGUGGAAAGUGAUAUCAAAGAAUUGUUGGAUCCCUCAGUGAAACUGUUCCUAGUGAAAGGAGUGUAUUUCCACCAAAGCAGUUUGUAAAAAUCAGAACUAGUUGUGCUGACAAAAUAGUGGUUGCAACA